Molecule: transfer RNA, 72 nt
Filed under: Microbacteriaceae bacterium BACL25 MAG-120322-bin65
Lineage: Bacteria; Bacillati; Actinomycetota; Actinomycetes; Micrococcales; Microbacteriaceae
Also listed under: 1 other name
Description: tRNA-Arg
Rfam family: tRNA
About the family: Transfer RNA (tRNA) molecules are approximately 80 nucleotides in length. Their secondary structure includes four short double-helical elements and three loops (D, anti-codon, and T loops). Further hydrogen bonds mediate the characteristic L-shaped molecular structure. tRNAs have two regions of fundamental functional importance: the anti-codon, which is responsible for specific mRNA codon recognition, and the 3' end, to which the tRNAs corresponding amino acid is attached (by aminoacyl-tRNA synthetases). tRNAs cope with the degeneracy of the genetic code in two manners: having more than one tRNA (with a specific anti-codon) for a particular amino acid; and 'wobble' base-pairing, i.e. permitting non-standard base-pairing at the 3rd anti-codon position.
Source: RNAcentral
GCCUCUGUAGCUCAAUGGAAGAGCAGUUCCGUCCUAAGGAAAGGGUUGGGGGUUCGACUCCCUCCAGGGGUA